RNAcentral lists this transfer RNA (92 nucleotides) under Nanobdellota archaeon. Its description in RNAcentral is "tRNA-Ile". It matches the Rfam family "tRNA". From Rfam's summary of the family: Transfer RNA (tRNA) molecules are approximately 80 nucleotides in length. Their secondary structure includes four short double-helical elements and three loops (D, anti-codon, and T loops). Lineage: Archaea; Nanobdellati; Nanobdellota. The record is from RNAcentral. RNAcentral also lists the same sequence under 1 other name.
GGCAGGGUGGUCGAGUUUGGCUUAAGACGCUGGACUUAUGAUCCAGUUGACGCGUCCCACACGUUACGCGGGUUCAAAUCCCGUCCCUGCCG